AUCUCUUUGAGUGGAGGGAGAGCAGGUAUGACUGGGACGACAUUCACGAGAUUGAGCAAGACCUGGUCCACCUGGUGACCCGAGAGAUCGAGCUGGAACAGGGCUACCAGCAGCUGUUCCACUCCAGUGAGAAGGCUCAGCAGGAGAGCAGAGUGACAGACCCAGAGGCAGACCCAUUCAGCUGGGACGAGAUAGUGGAGUUUUGCUGGGAGGAACCCCAGGUGGCUGGUGGAGAUGGGACCAAGGUCUUUCCACUGGUCCUGCAGGGAAUUGGGAGCCCAGUCUCCAUUCCCCAGCGGCAGGCUGAGUUACAGGGGGCAGAGACAGUUGGUCCUGUCCCCCAGCGGCAGAGUGUCCUACAGGGAAUAGAGAGCCCAGUCUCAU
Non-coding RNA from Pelobates cultripes (western spadefoot toad), 384 nucleotides. NCBI's taxonomy places the organism in Eukaryota, Metazoa, Chordata, Amphibia, Anura, Pelobatidae. The record is from the annotation of a GenBank genome assembly.